CAGCAGCCCAUUUUUUUUUUUCACUUGACACCGGGCUGGCCCAAAACACUUGAAUCCAAAAUAUCACGUAGGCUAGGUUUUUCCGUACACCCAUAAUUUCACAAUGAAAUGGAGUAGUCCGUAACGGUGUGCGGCGCGAAAGAUAAACAGUGACAGGAGAACUGGGAGU
Molecule: long non-coding RNA, 169 nt
Organism: Etheostoma cragini (Arkansas darter)
Lineage: Eukaryota; Metazoa; Chordata; Actinopteri; Perciformes; Percidae
Exons: 3
Source: RefSeq, a predicted model, not a curated record